GGGGAUGAUCGGCUUCGAUGGAGCCUGCGGGCAUGAGCAAUCGGGCCGAGGACGCAAAGACACUCGUAAAACUCUUUGCAAACCAAUACGUGCAAACGUAUCCGAACGCGUAGCGGUUGCUGCGGCCGAUUUGUUUGGCGGCGGCACCCGCGCGCUUGCGUUCGCCUAAUUUUUUAGAUGAACGCCAUCCGCCUGCGGAGCCCAAGCCGCAGAUCAGCGGGUGUCAUACCCUCGGGCUUGAGGCACGGGAUCCGGGACCGCGCCCGACACCAACCGGAAUCCGAACGGAUGUCUUUGCUGAAAUUUUAUUCCGCUCCGGACACGACCAAUUUCAGCUACGCCCGUACUCAUUGAUCAUGCCGCCGGUUCCACACGGGGGUUCAAUUCCCCCCAUCUCCAUCC
Molecule: transfer-messenger RNA, 402 nt
Filed under: Candidatus Sungiibacteriota bacterium
Lineage: Bacteria; Candidatus Sungiibacteriota
Rfam family: transfer-messenger RNA
About the family: Bacterial tmRNA, also known as 10Sa RNA or SsrA, is named for its dual tRNA and mRNA-like properties. Its role is to liberate the mRNA from a stalled ribosome.
Source: RNAcentral